AAAACAAGCUUUUUAUUAUUUCAAAUAAUUAAUCGCUGGAAACACCGCAUAAUCGCACUCAGAAAAAUCCAUAGUUCGGUAAUAAAUAAUGCUGAAAAACAACGGUAUUUGCAAAACACCUGGAAAAGGUAUUUCUGGCCUAUUCGCUAUAGGUGAAGAUAAUCAUUGAAAAGGCAUCCACGGCAACUUCUGAGAAUUCGCUUAGGACUAAUUGAAAACUAGUUUACAAGGGGGAGAAUUCAGGUGACCAAAACUCUGUUUUGUCACAUCAAUUACACUCUCAUAUGAUAAUUCUUAUAUAGAAUAGAAUAAAUUAUUAUGUUUGUAUCAACCUAGAUAGCCUGCUGCUGUGAAAGAAAUAUAUCAAGACAAAAGCACUGAAAACGAAGUUCAAAACAAAAAGACCGUGAGUUAAGACUUAAAAUGCACUCGAAGUAUUCCCGCUUGUCGUAAAAAGCGAUUAAAACACAAUUGGAAUCUGUGGGUUAGUAACAAACAAAUUUCGAAACUCGAUUACUAUUGAAACAUGAACAGCGCUCCGGAUAGGGAAUGAUUUCACUACUAUGACUUUUGGUUAUCGAAAAAAGACUAUAAUUGGUUUCUAAAAUAUAUUGUAUAUACGCGCUCAUCGACAACGGUAUCCAAGUUCAAGUUCUGAUGAUGUCUGGAGAGUACCCCUUCCCUUCUGUGACUCUUUACGGUUUACUACAUGCUGACGACUACGGCAAGGAUGCUGUCAUAACGUGGAAACCGGUUUCUAGCAGGGUGUUGAUUGCAAGAUUCCGGUCCAGACAGUUGUGCAGUGGCAUGCACCAACGAAGAUCUCAGAUAUUGAGCAGUAGGAUAGUUUCUAUUCUAUUGCGAUUGUGUUGAGUGAUCUUAAUACCAGGCAAAUCGAAAUGGCACUUGCAAAUACGCAAUGCUCUUCUUCACUCACACCAAAUCCAUUCGUGGGUUAAGAAAAAAUUUAAAAUUCAUUUUGAGGAUUUCGAUAUGAGCAGCGCUGCAUUUUUGUCGAAAGGUCGUUGGUGCUUUGCGUGAAAAUAAGGCAAAAGGCGACAAAUAUUGAAGGAGAAUGCAUUCCAAAUUAAAGUUUCUUUACUUAAAAUGUUUAAUAGAUUUUGUUACAUGAAAACAACUUUUAUUUUUUGUCAACCUAAUGUAUUUUACCAGAUGAUAAUAUACAUAUCUAGAAUUUGAAA
Long non-coding RNA from Hermetia illucens (black soldier fly), 1202 nucleotides. RefSeq lists it as uncharacterized. The record is from RefSeq and is a predicted model, not a curated record. NCBI's taxonomy places the organism in Eukaryota, Metazoa, Arthropoda, Insecta, Diptera, Stratiomyidae. The transcript has 2 exons.